This 475-nucleotide ribosomal RNA is filed under the name Triticum aestivum (bread wheat). Its description in RNAcentral is "partial small subunit ribosomal RNA". The record is from RNAcentral. Lineage: Eukaryota; Viridiplantae; Streptophyta; Magnoliopsida; Poales; Poaceae.
GGAGAUCCUCAACAGUCAAUCAUUGGCGACAGCGAGCACUUUGCCGCCGACUGUAUGGCCUUCUGUAAUUGUGCACAUCAUGCCUCGAGUCAUAAGCCUAUGGAGGAAAACAACACAAGAAGAUAGCUUGACGCCGAUGUGCGUGGGGGUGGCUGGCGGCGGAGCUUGCCGAUCCUGGAGACGAAGGGCGCACGCAGCAGCGGCCAUAGCCGAGCCCGUCGCGGCUCCGCCCCGAGCUGUGCGUGGCAGCGGAUCCGCGGCGGCGGCGGCGGCGGCGUCCUGGGGAUCCUGAUCCGCGACGAGCAACGUAACCGAGGCGUCGGUGGUAGCGGUGUCCUCGUGAUCGACGACGGCUGCGUCUGCCCGGAUCGGCGUCGGCGGAUGCGGUUGCGUAUCCUCGGGAGACGAGGAGGAGCGGAUCGGAGGGCGGCGGCAGCGAGAUCGCACGAGAGGAGGGUGGCUCUGUGUCCUGGAC